GCUGGAGGCGCCGCACACGCGUAAUCCAGAAACUCAAAAUUGCAGGGUUCAGAGAUCUUCUGGAUAGCUGAACACGUGGAGGUUCCUGGACGGUGUUGCAUCCAUGGAGGGCAUGGAAGCUCCGAGCCCAUUCCCCAUACCUUGCCCUACACAUCUCUGCAUCUGUAUCCUUUGUAACAUCCUUUAUAAUAAACUGGUAAACGUUUCUCUGAGCUCUGCGAACCACUCUAGCAAAUUAGUUGAACUCAAAAGAGGGGGUUGUGGGAACCUCAUCUUGAAGCCAGUAGGCCAGAAGCUCCAGAGGCCUGGAGUUGGAACUGGUGUCUGAAUGGGGGACAGAAUGGUGGACUGAGCCCUCAGCCUGUGGGAUCUGACACUAUCUCCAGGUAGAUAGUGCCAGAAUUGAAUUUUGGAGGGCACCCAGCUGGUGUCAGCUGCAGAAUUGCUUGCCUGGUGUGUGGGGGAAAGCCCCCACGCAUUCGGUCACAGCCAUCUUCUGUGCUGUUGUCGAGUGAGAGAAUAGAAAAAGCAUUUUGAAGGCCGGGCGCGGUGGCUCAUGCCUGUAAUCUCAGCACUUUGGG
Molecule: long non-coding RNA, 581 nt
Filed under: Homo sapiens (human)
Lineage: Eukaryota; Metazoa; Chordata; Mammalia; Primates; Hominidae
Description: HSALNT0095124
Source: RNAcentral